This 119-nucleotide ribosomal RNA is filed under the name Gossypium arboreum. Lineage: Eukaryota; Viridiplantae; Streptophyta; Magnoliopsida; Malvales; Malvaceae. The record is from RNAcentral.
UGGUGCGAUCAUACCAGCACUAAUGCACUAGAUCCCAUCAGAACUCUGCAGUUAAGCGUGCUCGGGCGAGAUUAGUACUAGGAGGGGUGACCUCUUAGGUAGUCCUCGUGUUGCACCCC